Gopherus flavomarginatus (Mexican gopher tortoise) is the source of this 365-nucleotide long non-coding RNA. RefSeq lists it as uncharacterized. The transcript is spliced from 2 exons. The record is from RefSeq and is a predicted model, not a curated record. NCBI's taxonomy places the organism in Eukaryota, Metazoa, Chordata, Testudines, Testudinidae.
GAAAUUCUCUAGUUUUUGUACAUUUUACAGCUACUCUAUUUGAUCUGCAUAAAGAACUAAAGGUGCAACAUUAGCAAGAGCAUUAGUGGAGAUUUUUACACCUUUCCAUGAUUUCUGAUUGGCAAGUGUCAGCAGGGUACCCAGCUGCAUGGGCUGUCUGACAACGAAUUACUGGCAAACAGAAAAAUCAGUUUUUGCCCAACUCUAGUUUUAAGAAUCACAGUUUGACUUCCUGUAACUUUACCCAAGAGAAAACAAAAUACAUAUCAAGUCAGAAUUAAUAGUUACCUGACAUAUUGUAAGUCUUUAGUUACCUGUAAGUGUAAAGAAGAAAGCCUUCUACAAUAAGAAUGUGGAUUGUUUCA